UUCAAAAGGAAAUUUCCAAAAAUGAAUACAACUCACUGCAAUUGAUUGAACUUAAGUUUAAAGAGUCAUCACAUCAAUGGGGUCAUGGAAAGAAAGCUCAUCCAACAUAGCCUAUGCAUUUGAGUAAAGCAUAUCAAAACAGAAAAAAGAAAAAAACUGUGGCUACAUGUGUGUGUAUUGAAAGCAAAAAUAACAAAAAUGAAAAAAAAUUCAAACUGUGGCUAUUCAAACUAAAAAUUAAAGCAAAAAUUAAAGAUUCAGAAAUGUAUGCACCCC
Molecule: long non-coding RNA, 276 nt
Filed under: Manihot esculenta (cassava)
Lineage: Eukaryota; Viridiplantae; Streptophyta; Magnoliopsida; Malpighiales; Euphorbiaceae
Description: long non-coding RNA (MESC_LNC009208)
Source: RNAcentral